GAUAAACGCUAGCGGCAGGCUUAACACGUGCAAGUCGAGGGGCAGCAUAGAUUGUAGCAAUACAAUUGGUGGCGACCGGCGCACGGGUGCGUAACGCGUAUGCAACCUACCCGUCACAGGGGGAUAAUCCGGAGAAAUCUGGUCUAAUACCCCAUAACAUAUGGAUCGGCAUCGGUUCAUGUUGAAAUUUUCGGUGGUGACGGAUGGGCAUGCGUAGCAUUAGCUUGUUGGUGAGGUAACGGCUCACCAAGGCGACGAUGCUUAGGGGGACUGAGAGGUUUUCCCCCACACUGGUACUGAGACACGGACCAGACUCCUACGGGAGGCAGCAGUGAGGAAUAUUGGUCAAUGGGCGCAAGCCUGAACCAGCCAUGCCGCGUGCAGGAUGACGGCUCUAUGAGUUGUAAACUGCUUUUGUACGAGGGUAAAGUGGGUUACGUGUAACCUUUUGAAAGUAUCGUACGAAUAAGGAUCGGCUAACUCCGUGCCAGCCGCCGCCGUAA
RNAcentral lists this ribosomal RNA (503 nucleotides) under uncultured bacterium. Its description in RNAcentral is "partial 16S ribosomal RNA". It matches the Rfam family "Bacterial small subunit ribosomal RNA", at positions 28 to 523 of the family's 1533-position model. The record is from RNAcentral.